RNAcentral lists this ribosomal RNA (497 nucleotides) under uncultured bacterium. RNAcentral's name for it is "partial 16S ribosomal RNA". It matches the Rfam family "Bacterial small subunit ribosomal RNA", at positions 28 to 507 of the family's 1533-position model. The record is from RNAcentral.
GAUGAACGCUGGCGGCGUGCCUAAUACAUGCAAGUCGAGCGAACAGAUGAGGAGCUUGCUCCUCUGACGUUAGCGGCGGACGGGUGAGUAACACGUGGAUAACCUACCUAUAAGACUGGGAUAACUUCGGGAAACCGGAGCUAAUACCGGAUAAUAUAUUGAACCGCAUGGUUCAAUAGUGAAAGACGGUUUUGCUGUCACUUAUAGAUGGAUCCGCGCCGCAUUAGCUAGUUGGUAAGGUAACGGCUUACCAAGGCAACGAUGCGUAGCCGACCUGAGAGGGUGAUCGGCCACACUGGAACGGAGACACGGUCCAGACUCCUACGGGAGGGAGCAGUAGGGAAUCUGAGGCAAUGGGCGAAAGCCUGACGGAGCAACGCCGCGUGAGUGAUGAAGGUCUUCGGAUCGUAAAACUCUGUUAUUAGGGAAGAACAAAUGUGUAAGUAACUAUGCACGUCUUGACGGUACCUAAUCAGAAAGCCACGGCUAACUACGUG